AUGAAUCUUUUGGCCUGGAACUAUCGAGGACUGGGGUUGGACUCAACAGUGGGAGAACUUAGGGACCUGAUACGGUCCUACAACCCAGCGGUGGUAUUUUUAUGUGAAACAAAAAAGAAAGCAAGGGCGAUGGAGAGACUGAAAUGGAGUCUAGGGUUCAGAUGUGGCAUGGCAGUGGACUGUCAAGGGAGGAGUGGAGGUCUCACUCUGUGGUGGAGGGAUAAUGUG
This 228-nucleotide ribosomal RNA is filed under the name Triticum aestivum (bread wheat). RNAcentral's name for it is "partial small subunit ribosomal RNA". The record is from RNAcentral. Lineage: Eukaryota; Viridiplantae; Streptophyta; Magnoliopsida; Poales; Poaceae.